RNAcentral lists this long non-coding RNA (218 nucleotides) under Lathyrus oleraceus (garden pea). RNAcentral's name for it is "Pisum sativum (pea) long non-coding RNA (PSAT_LNC037253)". Lineage: Eukaryota; Viridiplantae; Streptophyta; Magnoliopsida; Fabales; Fabaceae. The record is from RNAcentral.
AAACUGAACACAACCUUGAUCCAUCAAACCCUGGAUACCAGCCCGCAGCAGAUCACAACCGUUCUCAGCCUCUGCACAGCCCACACAGUCUUCAUCACAGCCCGGAUGAACACCACUACUUAGUAGACGGCCCUUAACCACCAUCAGAGAAGUCUGAAUCUCACUGACAUCGACAACCAAAUCCUCAGAUUCGACCCCUUCGAUACAAUUCACCCUAU